This 253-nucleotide ribosomal RNA is filed under the name uncultured bacterium. Its description in RNAcentral is "partial 16S ribosomal RNA". It matches the Rfam family "Bacterial small subunit ribosomal RNA", at positions 524 to 776 of the family's 1533-position model. The record is from RNAcentral.
GACGGAGGAUGCAAGCGUUAUCCGGAAUCAUUGGGCGUAAAGAGCGCGUAGGCGGCCCAGUAAGUCCGCUCUGAAAGUCAGGGGCUCAACCCCUGGAUGCGGGUGGAUACUGCUGGGCUAGAGUCCGGAAGAGGUGAGUGGAAUUCCUGGUGUAGCGGUGAAAUGCGCAGAUAUCAGGAAGAACAUCGGUGGCGAAGGCGCUCUGCUGGACCAUAACCGACACUCAGGGACGAAAGCUAGGGGAGCGAAUGGG